RNAcentral lists this long non-coding RNA (3302 nucleotides) under Podarcis lilfordi (Lilford's wall lizard). Lineage: Eukaryota; Metazoa; Chordata; Lepidosauria; Squamata; Lacertidae. The record is from RNAcentral.
GAGCUCACCCCGUCGUGGGGAUUCGAACCACCGACCUUCUGAUUGGCAAGUCCUAGGCUCUGUAGUUUAACCCACAGCGCCACCCACGUCCCAAUUAAUAGGUAGGAGGCCUCUUUUCCCCUUAGAGAACUACAAUUCUCAGAGUGGUUUAACAGUCAAUCCCUUUUCCCAGGGAACUCUUGAGAAGGGAAUAGGGGGUCUUGAAACAACUAGCAGCAACUGCAACAAACUGCUAUUGCCAGGAACCUUUGGGCGUAGCCAUAACUGUUUAAAGUGGUAUGAUAUUGCUUUAAUUGUAUAGUGCAUAUGGGGCCACAGGUGAGUUUCAGCAUACUUCUGUGUGCAACUGAGAACUGAAGCACACUAUCCUUAAGAGAUGUAAACAGUUGAUUUGUUUGCCAGUAGGGCAGUGCCAGUUGGACAAGUUCUUGCCUGGACCGACUGGUUGGCCAACUGCUAGCCCUCACUGUCCAUACAGAAUUCUUGCCCCUUCCCAGACACCAAGGGUGGAAGCGUUCCCUACCAAUAAGAUUAGCGAGCACACACCAGACCUUGCUUUCUACGACAUGCUUGCAGGAGACCUGUGGUCAUUGCACAGUCAUCUCUAGAGCAGAACUUAGGGAGUCAAGGAGAUUAGGAUCCUGCUCAGAGCUGAGAACUGAGCUCAUCACUAUCAGUGUGGUUUCGCUUUGUGGUGUGUGCGUGUGUGCUUGCACAAGUGCUCUGAAAUUAAUUUUCUGUGCCAAUCUGGGCUUCUGAUUUUUUCCAUAUUAAUCCCUUCCUUGAUGUGCAGACAUCAAGUUCUCAGAAAGCAAAAUUCUGCUCCACUUCAGGCUAUAGGUGAGUCAUGUUUUCAUUCUUCUGCAAACUUCUCUGGAUAUAGUAAACUAGCACACAUCAGAAAAAAGGUUGUACCUUUAAAAAAAAAAAAUCUUACAAGUGCUAACGUAUGCAUUGAGUUACUGACCUCCAGUUUCCCACCAUAUGAAGCACAAUGACUAGGGUACAAUUCUCUUACACGUACCUUCUCAUUGCACAACCUCCUGGGUUAAGAAGACGUUAGCUGGAGAGAGCAACUCUGCACGUCUGUGGGUUUUGACAGCGAGACAUUCACUGUAUUAGUGGGAUGGCUUUUAUUAUUUAACGGAGAAGUUUUACAAUCUGAAUCCCUGAACAUUUUCUUCUCUCCAUGCUUGUUGUCUUGUUAUUAAUAUGUAAAGAAGGGAAAGGGAAAGAGAGAAAGAGGCAGCACAGGGUUUCUCAGCUGAAACCUUCUGUACUAAAAACCAGCCUGGAACGCUUUUGUGGUUGCUUUUUAUGGCUGGGUGUUGUAAACUCCUUUGAAAGCACAAGUUUACAGUGGCUGUGCAGACAGACCUGCAUGUGUAAGAGCAGGGGGUUCCGUGGGAAGUCUCCUUUGCGCUUUAUGGGUACAGGCAGCCAGAGUCUAUUGUUUGAGAUGCAGCAGGUGUGUAAUUUCCUGACAUAACAACCUGUGAAUAACAGGGUCCAGCAACAAACGAGAACCAUGUCAAGGCUGCAGGAGAGGCUUGGGAUGGGAAAUGUAAUAAUAGGUUAAAGGAGAAGCCAGAGACUUCUGUAGUGGUAUGGCAAUCAUUCCUGUUGAAAGAUGCACUCGACAUUGUGUGUACAUACUUGAAACACUUAAUAUUUAGUCAUCUCAAUGAGUUCAGCAGCAAAAACUCGGAUCGCGUGGAACCCACAGAGCCACGUAAGGGGAGUUACCCAUUGGUUUCAGGGCUCCAGCAAACAAUAAAAUUAUAGCGUUGCAAGAGGAGACCUGUUAUUAUUUUUGGAAACCAUUUCAUACAUUUGCAAGUUGCUCUUUCUCUUAAUGAAAACACACAGCGACUUGCAAAAACCAGUCGUCCAGUUGCAACAAUGGAAACAACCAAUGCGAAACAAUCUGUUUUCAAAACCACAGAGUUUCGUUUUUUAAAAUAACAGCAGAGAAACAGGCAGGAGCAUCAAUAGCAAGGGAAAGCUUAUGGUAACAGACACGUCAACUUCCUGGUUUUGCUGACAGAGCCUGAACAGAGAUAUCGAGUCAGACCAUUGGUCCAUUGAGCUCAGUCUUGUCUACACUGACUGACGGAACCACUGACUCUCCAGUGGUUCAAACAGGGAUCCCUCCCUGCAUCACUGGGAGAUGACGGGGAUUGAACAUGAGUCCUGCGUGCAAGGCAGAUCCCUAAUCAAAUGCAGAAGGAGGGGGGAAACCACCUUGUCCAUCCACCUAUCUCAGGACUAAAAGCAUUAGAAGCCCCCACUCAUAAUGUUAGAGUUUGAUGUCGUCCAGUGAAGCUAAUUGUUGGAAGAUUUGGGACAGGCUUCUUCACACAUCACAUAGUUAAACUAUGGCAUUCAUCCCCAGAAGAGACAGUGAUGGCUACCAAUUUGGAUGGCUUUAUAACAGGACUGGAAAAGAUCAAGGAUAUAGCUAUGUCGUAGGUUCACUGUCAGAGGUAGCUUCCCAUUCUCAUUUGGUUGGCCACUAUGAGAACAGGAUGUUGGAAUAGAUGGGCCAUUGACCGGAUUCUGCAAGGCUUUUCCUUGUGCCCUUCCUGAUUGAACAGGUCAUAUGUGUUAUGGAACACUUCUGAGGAGUCGCCGUGAUCCAGUGAUGACAACCACACAUGGAUACGUUGGAGCAAAGAGCCAGUGUGGAGUAGUGGUUAAGAACGGUAGUCUCGUAAUCUGGGGAACCGGGUUCGCGUCUCCGCUCCUCCACAUGCAGCUGCUGGGUGACCUUGGGCCAGUCACACUUCUUUGAAGUCUCUCAGCCCCACUCACCUCACAGAGUGUUUGUUGUGGGGGAGGAAGGGAAAGGAGAAUGUUAGCCGCUUUGAGACUCCUUAAAGGGAGUGAAAGGUGGGAUAUCAAAUCCAAACUCUUCUUCUUCUUCUUCAAAGAUACCAUGCAGUGUUCUGUAAUCAAUAGUCAACAUCCAGUGGUAGACAAAUGCACAUGGAACUGUACAUAGUUGGAUUCCUAAGCACCUGUUGAGCAUCCUGUUGAGCACAUGCUCUCCUGGAUCGUGCUGUGGAAAUAUGAACAUGGCUUUGGUAGCAAGCCACACAGGACACACUAGUUUUCUGCUUCCUAACCGGACAGCUUGCACACACUUCUUGGAAGGCUUUUAGCUCGUUUCUUUGUUUAGUUUAGUUUUUAAAAUAAACCUAACAAGACGCACAAGCCAUACAUUCAGUCUACCUGUGUUGAGAUGUUGAGUAGACUAGUGAAUCUACAAGCCUGUUAAAAAUAAGGGCGCUUACUUACUU